CCUACGGGAGGCAGCAGUGAGGAAUAUUGGUCAAUGGGCGCAAGCCUGACCCAGCAAAGCCGCGUGAAGGAUGAAGGCUCUAGGGUUGUUAACUUCCUUUUACAGGGAAGUGUAGAAGACGGUACCUGUCUUAUUAGCUACGGCUAACUACGUGCAAGCAGCCGCGUUCAUACGUAGGUGGCAAGCGUUGUCCGGAUUUAGUGGGUGUAACGGGUGUGUAGCCGGGUUGACAAGUCAGAUGUGAAAGUCUGCGGCUUAACCGCAGAACUGCAAUUGAUACUGUGGAUCGUGAGUACUGGGGAGGCAGGCGGAAUUCCUGGUGUAGCGGUGAAAUGCCUAGAUAGUAGGAAGAACACCAGUGGCGAAGGCGGUCUGCUGGACAGCAACUGACGGUGAGGCGCGAAAGCGUGGGGAGCAAACAGGAUUAGAUACCCCAGUAGUC
Molecule: ribosomal RNA, 442 nt
Filed under: uncultured bacterium
Lineage: Bacteria
Description: partial 16S ribosomal RNA
Rfam family: Bacterial small subunit ribosomal RNA
Source: RNAcentral